UCACAUCAUGGACCAAAGGACAGACAGGCUGC
Molecule: non-coding RNA, 32 nt
Filed under: Homo sapiens (human)
Lineage: Eukaryota; Metazoa; Chordata; Mammalia; Primates; Hominidae
Source: RNAcentral